This 371-nucleotide ribosomal RNA is filed under the name uncultured bacterium. RNAcentral describes it as "bacterial SSU rRNA". It matches the Rfam family "Bacterial small subunit ribosomal RNA", at positions 527 to 896 of the family's 1533-position model. The record is from RNAcentral.
AGAGGUGGCAAGCGUUGUUCGGAAUUACUGGGCGUAAAGGGCGCGUAGGCGGUUCGUUAAGUCCUGUGUGAAAUCCCCCGGCUCAACUGGGGAACGGCACAGGAAACUAGCGGGCUUGAGUUCAGGAGAGGGAAGCGGAAUUCCGGGUGUAGCGGUGAAAUGCGUAGAUAUCCGGAGGAACACCGGUGGCGAAGGCGGCUUCCUGGACCGACACUGACGCUGAGGCGCGAAAGCUAGGGGAGCAAACGGGAUUAGAUACCCCGGUAGUCCUAGCUGUAAACGAUGAGUGCUGGGUGUAGGGGGUAUCAACCCCCCCUGUGCCGAAGCUAACGCAUUAAGCACUCCGCCUGGGGAGUACGGUCGCAAGGCUG